AGUAUCCUCGCCAUGCUAUCUGGUUAUAGGGGGUGACACCUGCCCAGUGCCGGAAGGUUAAGAGGAGAAGUCAGCGCAAGCGAAGCUUUGAAUUGAAGCCCCGGUGAACGGCGGCCGUAACUAUAACGGUCCUAAGGUAGCGAAAUUCCUUGUCAGGUAAAUUCUGACCCGCACGAAAGGUGUAAUGAUCCCUUCGCUGUCUCGGCUGCAGACUCGGUGAAAUUUUAGUACCGGUGAAGAUGCCGGUUACCCGCAGGACU
This 260-nucleotide ribosomal RNA is filed under the name Klebsiella pneumoniae. RNAcentral describes it as "partial 23S ribosomal RNA". It matches the Rfam family "Bacterial large subunit ribosomal RNA", at positions 1816 to 2079 of the family's 2925-position model. The record is from RNAcentral. Lineage: Bacteria; Pseudomonadati; Pseudomonadota; Gammaproteobacteria; Enterobacterales; Enterobacteriaceae.